This 289-nucleotide long non-coding RNA is filed under the name Manihot esculenta (cassava). Its description in RNAcentral is "long non-coding RNA (MESC_LNC001233)". Lineage: Eukaryota; Viridiplantae; Streptophyta; Magnoliopsida; Malpighiales; Euphorbiaceae. The record is from RNAcentral.
GGGUCCCGGCGGCCUUAAGCCGAUCUGGAUCCUAGUGCCAGUGAUGGUUCGGGCCGUUACAGAGGGGUACCGGUUUCCGGGUCGUUACAGAUUGGUAUCAGAGCAUAGGGCCUCUAGAGUACGAUGUGCUGAAUCAGUAUACUCUGGGAUCAGAGCUAUCUCACAUCGGAAAGAGGUUAAGAUGUCAGAUUUGUAGAUCUUCGAGUACGGUGUGUUGAGCGAAGAUGCUCAAGGAUCAGAUUCCCACAUCGGAAAGAGGUGUUGUCUUAUAUAGGAGGGAAAGCACAAU